UACAGAGGUCUCAAGCGUUGUUCGGAUUCAUUGGGCGUAAAGAGCUCGUAGGCGGUUUGUUGCGUCGGCCGUGAAAACCUGCAGCUUAACUGUGGGCGUGCGGUCGAUACGGGCAUCACUGGAGUUCGGCAGGGGAGACUGGAAUUCCUGGUGUAGCGGUGAAAUGCGCAGAUAUCAGGAGGAACACCGGUGGCGAAGGCGGGUCUCUGGGCCGAUACUGACGCUGAGGAGCGAAAGCGUGGGGAGCAAACAGG
Molecule: ribosomal RNA, 254 nt
Filed under: uncultured bacterium
Lineage: Bacteria
Description: partial 16S ribosomal RNA
Rfam family: Bacterial small subunit ribosomal RNA
Source: RNAcentral